GGGCCUUUAGAGCGGAGGCUACUUAUACCAUCGCGAACUCGUCCAAGUUGCUUCGGCGGCGCGGCCCCCCUCACGGGGGCGCCGCAGCCCCGCCUCUCCGGAGGUGUGGGGCGCCCGCCGGAGGUACGAAACUCUGUAUUAUAGUGGCAUCUCUGAGUAAAAAACAAAUAAGUUAAAACUUUCAACAACGGAUCUCUUGGUUCUGGCAUCGAUGAAGAACGCAGCGAAAUGCGAUAAGUAAUGUGAAUUGCAGAAUUCAGUGAAUCAUCGAAUCUUUGAACGCACAUUGCGCCCGCUAGUACUCUAGCGGGCAUGCCUGUUCGAGCGUCAUUUCAACCCUCAAGCCCUGCUUGGUGUUGGGGCCCUACGGCUGCCGUAGGCCCUGAAAGGAAGUGGCGGGCUCGCUACAACUCCGAGCGUAGUAAUUCAUUAUCUCGCUAGGGACGUUGCGGCGCGCUCCUGCCGUUAAAGACCAUCUUUAACUCAAGGUUGACCUCGGAUCAGGUAGGAAUACCCGCUGAACUUAAGCAUAUCAAUAAGCGGAGGAA
Molecule: ribosomal RNA, 548 nt
Filed under: Coniochaeta sp. SL4
Lineage: Eukaryota; Fungi; Ascomycota; Sordariomycetes; Coniochaetales; Coniochaetaceae
Description: eukaryotic LSU rRNA
Rfam family: 5.8S ribosomal RNA (bases 177-330)
Source: RNAcentral